UGCCCAAAAGCCAGUUUCCAAAAGGUU
This 27-nucleotide non-coding RNA is filed under the name Homo sapiens (human). The record is from RNAcentral. Lineage: Eukaryota; Metazoa; Chordata; Mammalia; Primates; Hominidae.